Long non-coding RNA from Chlorocebus sabaeus (green monkey), 1497 nucleotides. RefSeq lists it as uncharacterized. Lineage: Eukaryota; Metazoa; Chordata; Mammalia; Primates; Cercopithecidae. The record is from RefSeq and is a predicted model, not a curated record.
UUUAUAGAGAGGGUCACUCUGUACUCUGCCCUUUCCCCCCGUGCUGCCCAGUCUUCCAACUUCAAGGGACACGUGUGUGUGUGUGUGCGCGCGCGCGCGCGCGCUAAGUGGGCAGUGGAGGAGGUUGGGGUGCGGGUUGUCUUGUACCCCAGUACCGGCCCUUCCUCGGAUCUGUUUUCAAUUCAUUCUGCUCCUUGGCCCAGACUUAUGACCUUUGCAGCCUGCGGCAGUAUCAUCCAUCACCUAGGCGCCGCUUACGGCGAUGAAGGGCGCUGGGAGCUCACACAGGGUCGCUGUCACGCCUACCGCGCUCUCUGGGGAUCUGCUCUCUGGCCCGCAGGCCAGGGCUUAACAGUCUUGGCAUCCUGGACCGUCAAGGGCAAAGGGAACAGAAAACUGAACCCGGUCCUGCAGUCUUCUUGUGUGCUUCCCUACCCCCAUCACACCUCAGCCUUCUGGAAGGGGGGCGCGCCUGUCCCAGGCCCUCCUCCUAGCUGAGUCUCGGCCCUCCCCCCGCCAGCAGCAGAUGGUGCCCGGGCUCCCGCUGCCAACCUUGCUAGGCGGUGCCAACCUCAGUCCUGGCAGACAACGGGCAGACGAGAAGAGGAGCUCCUGGCUGGCCAAGCCGACCCUCCCCCACCCGGCAUCGAGCUCAAGACCCCCCACACACGCUUGCCCCACUCCAGCGACCACUUCAGCCUCCCUCUCACUGGGUCCACUCCCAGGUCCCCAAACUCCUCGUCUCCUUCUGCUCCCUUCCCCACACCUUCCCGCUCCUCGCCACCUGCCGCCCUGACCAGGGCCGGCGUAUUUGCAUAUUUGCAUAUGCAAAUAAUAACAUUUGCAUACGGCGCUCCGCAGGGGGUCUCCGCAAGAGCCGGUUAGCUGUCUGCCCUCCGUCCUCACUCGGAACCUGUCGGAAAGGGUUAGGGCAGGGGCCGCGUGGGAGGGGUUAGACCCCCGGCCUAGCUAGCUCGGUUCCCGGAGGACUUGAGGAAGUGUUGCCAUGGAGACGGCACGCACCCCACCCCCUCCCAGGCCCAGGGUCUCGGGCUUGGUGUCUCCGGUUCUCUCCCCUUACCCACCCUCUACCCCCUCCCCAUCCCUCGCUCUCCAACCGAGAUCUUGCAUCGCCCCCUGGCGGCCUAACUCGGCGCCAAGCCAGAUUCCGAAAUACAAGGGGCUGCCUGCAGCUAAAUAGCCAAGAGCAAGGGGGACUUACCCUACUACAAGAACCGGCUCCCAGCCGCUGGGGCGCGGGGGCGGCGACUGCAGCUCCGCGCUCCCCUUUCUUCACUGACCACAGAGGCCUCACCUGGCGGGCGCACUUAUCUUCCCACCUCCCGCCAACUUCAGCCCAGAUGGGUCUCAGGUUACCCGAUGGUAACGAGGUCGGGCAGGUAGGGAGGAUUCUCCACCCCUCCGCAGGCCCUCUCCUCAACCCCAGUUAAAGAACAACUUUUCUAAGUUUUGUCAAAAGUUUAAUAAAACUUGCAA